Molecule: long non-coding RNA, 964 nt
Filed under: Homo sapiens (human)
Lineage: Eukaryota; Metazoa; Chordata; Mammalia; Primates; Hominidae
Description: non-protein coding lnc-DCP1B-7:2
Source: RNAcentral
GGAUUUAUAAGCAUGGAGGGCCCACCUCUUGUAGGCAAAUUCAUCUUCUGAGGCAGGAAGCAGCAUUAGGAAUGAUCUAGCCCAUCUCCUUGCCCCAGGGUGAGACAAUAAGGGAUCUUCCACUCUGCCCAGCAUCGUACUGUUUGCAGAAGGAGUAAGAAGGGAUAAAGAGGAAGUUAGAAGACUGACCUAGUCACCAAUGACGGGAGCUGUCCCCUGUCGUUACGCCUUGUGAGGUGACGGAGAACAAGGGGUCAGAAUCACCCUAACAAGGCUGCAUCCACUGCUACUGGAAGGAGGCUGGAUGGCGCGGUCAUGCUUCCUAUGCACAGGCAUACAGUUUGCCUUCCCCUUAGGCCACUGUGGGAUGAGAAUUCCAGGAGAAAACGCAGGAAGGAUGCUUGUUAUUUAAUAACAAGCUUGAGGAAAUCACAACAGAGAGGAGGAAGCAAACAGGCUGACAAGUCAGGAUGGCAGCGUGGGGGCCAGCGCCCCCAGUUCACCCACCAUGGGCAUGAUCCAGGAGGCCAGGCAGGGCUGGAAUUAAGAGCACAGGUUUUGGAGUCUCCCAAUCUCACCUGGAAUUCCAGCCGCACCUCUUACUACACACUGGCCUUGGGUAAAUCAUUCUGUCUCUCCAAUACUUAGUGUUCCUUAUCCACUAGGGGGAUUAAAUGAGAUUCCGGAGUGCCCAGCACACAGCCCAUCAAGACCUGUAGGUGUGCCACACUCCACGUUGUCACCAUGACAUCAGCAACCCCUCCUCUUCCCCCACGGAGUCUUCCCCACUUUCUGAAGUCUGAAGAACUGGGACUGGAACAUGUCCAAGGGGCUGCUCGUCACUGCCGGAGGGAUAACUGUUCAGACACUGUCGUCACACAGUCACAGAAAGACUCAGAACUUCAUUGCUACUUUAUUUGUUGUUUUCUGCCUUUAGGAUACUUCCUUAUGAUAAAAAAUGUGA